UGGGAUGAGAAAUGCAGAGAGGCGAUUAAGAAUAGAAAUAGAGCUUUUAAAGUGCUGAAGAGGACUCAUAAUUAUCAGCAUAUGAUUGAGUAUAAGAGACAACAGGCAGUGGUCAGGAGGACCAUAAGGGAAACAAAAAGGACUUACUGGAGGGGAUACUGUAACACUAUUGGGCACACAACCACGGUAACAGAGAUUUGGGGUAUGAUACGGAAGAUGGGGGGGGAUAGACGGGCGUGGGGCUAUCCGAUUCUAUCUGAUGGAGAUGAAUCAGCCAUUACAAAUGAGGAGAAGGCAGAAAUGAUGGUGAAUGCUCUCAGCAAGGUUCAUAGCUCUGACAAUCUAUCAGCUGAAGAGAGGAGGUGUAGAGAGGAAACCAAAAGUAUACAUGUUGGAGUUGUCCAGAGGAAGGGCAAUGUAGAUGAUAAGUACAACGUUCCGUUUACAAUGGGGGAGCUGAGGAGGGCACUGGCGAGUUGCAAGGACUCCGCUCCAGGGAAGGAUGGUGUCUGCUAUGCCAUGUUGAGACACCUAAGGGAGGCGGGGUUGAGAGUGCUGCUCCAUCUUUAUAAUAGGGUCUGGGAGGAGGGUCUGAUCCCGUCAGGAUGGAAGGAGGCAACGAUCAUUCCCAUUAGGAAACCGGGGAAGGAUGCAAGUAACCCUUCAAGUUAUAGGCCUAUAGCCUUGACUUCCCAUGUGGGGAAGCUGAUGGAGAGGCUUGUCAACGGAAGGCUGAUGCACCUGGUGGAGGAGAGGGGACUGGUGGCAAACUAUCAGAAUGGAUUCAGGGUAGGGAGAAGCACCUCUGAUUCAGUGCUGUGUUUAAAGGAUGAAAUAAGGAAAGCCCAGGUGAUGAAAGAAUCUGUGGUGGCUGUGUUUUUAGAUGUUGAAAAGGCAUAUGACAUGCUGUGGGUAGAAGGUCUUUUAAUUAAGAUGCAUUUGAUGGGGGUGGGAGGGCGUGUGUUUAAUUGGGUCAUGGACUUUUUAAACAACAGAAGCAUCCAGGUUAAGAUAGGAUCAGACUUAUCCAGGAAGUGUCAUGUAGAAAAUGGAACCCCUCAGGGGAGUGUUAUCAGUCCCCUCCUUUUCAACAUAAUGAUUAAUGAUAGUUUUGUGGCUGUGCAUCCGGGAAUUGGGAAAUCACUGUUUGCAGAUGAUGGUGGCCUGUGGAAAAGGGGGAAAAACAUGAACCAUACUGUAAAGGCAGUCCAGGACGCAUUAUCCCAAGUGGAAGGCUGGGGGAGGAAAUGGGGAUUUAGAUUCUCAGUGGAAAAAACUAAGGUCAUGAUCUUCUCCAGGAAAAAGAUUAAUGGGGGGGGAUAAAAUGGAGCUAUACGGUAAAAGGCUUGAGAGGGUUAAAUCUUUUAAAUUUUUGGGUGUAACUUUGACAAUCGUCUUACAUGGAGGGACCAUGUGACUAUAAUAAUGGAUAAAGGAAAGAAAGUACUAAAUGUAAUGAGAUGCCUGGCUGGGUCGGGGUGGGGAGCAAGCUCGGAGUCCCUGAGACAGAUUUAUGGGCAUCUAAUAAGAUCAAGAGUCGAAUAUGGCAGUCUGGCGUAUGGAUCAGCCUCAAAAUCAGUUCUGGCUCGACUAGAUAGGUGUUAGAAUAAUGUGCAUAAAUGUAUAUAGAAGUUAUCAUUAUUCCUCAUAUUCUUAUGAAAGAGUUUACUACAAGUAUAAACUGUUUUGACCUCUUGUUACACAUCAUAUAAGAGUGUUUUUUUUAUCAUAUAAGAGUGUUUUCUAACUUCUCUCUCCAAUUAGGAUUAUUACACAGCACAUAAAUGUUUCUUCAUGUUUCUGUGACCUUGUCUUUUCCUAUCAGCAGGUGUGUGUAUGUGUGGGUGAUGUAUCCUCCACUGUGAAUCGUGGGAAGUAAUGAGGAGGAUCCGCUCUUAUCAGAAGGAGCUCGUUUGAUGCAACAAUGUCGCCUUGACCUUCACAUAUUCACAGUUGUUCAUUAUUAUGUUUUAUGAGAAUGCUUACGUUGCUGCACAUACUUUCCCCCCACCCUUUAGAAACAUUGUGUAACCAGGGACAACCCUAAAUAAAAGAGGGAGGACAGAAAACCACCUUCAGAGUGGUUUUGAGAUUUUACCUGAUGCUAUCUCUGUCCAUUCUCCUCGAGCAUAUACCAUUGUCUUUCUCUUCUUUAUAUGUUUUCAGGUAUUCGGGCAGGUUUUAGACCCAACAAUAGGCUCCAAGCUAUGCCGCUCAGGAUUUGUCUGGGGGCUGUGCGCUCGUCCCCAGUGUGCUCGUCCCUAGUGUGCUCUCUUCAGGUUCAGACAGGGGAAAUGCCACUUGACCUGAGAAGGAAGCAGCUUCAGGCCAACUACUGGGUCAAUUUGAUAGGACAGGGGGAUGAGCACCCGGCUAAGGUAGCUUUUCAAGAGACCUGGGAAAGGGGAGCGGGGAGGAUGCGAAGCUUUGGAUGGACUGGGGAGGAAGUGACACAGGACACUGGAAUAUAUAGAGAAACAUUCUGCCCGGCGAUGAUGUGGCCUGUGAUGCCUCUUUGACUGUUAGAGACCCCAAAUGUGGACCUGGAGCUACUGGGGGCAAGAUCAAGGACUGGAGAGGCUGAUGUGAUCUGUCAGUUUCAGGACCGGGUGGAGGAGAAGUACAGGAGUCAUGUGAUAAUGUUCACGGAUGGGUCGAAAGAUCAAGCCACAGGUGGUACCGGGGCAGCCUUUUUAGUGUGUGGAAUGAAUGUGCAGGUGUGUAGGAGGACGUGAAAUUCCCUCAGUGUUUUUACAGUCGAGUUUUUUGCAAUUUUAAUGGCGGUGCAAUGGGCUGGUCAGCUUGAGGACUGUGAAGUGCUGGUGUGCAGCGACUCGAUGUCUGCAGUCAAAAGCAUCGGGAUGGGCUCAGCUAGGGGCCGGCAGGACCUUGUAUAUGAGGUGCUGCUGGCGCUUAGAGAUGUGGCUAGGAGGGGGGUGAGGGUUUCGUUUAUGUGGGUGCCUGCACAUGUUGGGAUUGGGGCAAAUGAGAGGGUGGACAGGCUGGCGAAGGAAGUCGUAAAACGAGAGCUGGUGGAUGUCAAACUAAACCUGUCAAAGUCUGAGGGGAAAAGUGUGGUGUAUGAGAAGAUAAUUCAACAGUGGCAACAUCGAUGGGAGAGGGAGAAUAAAGGAAGACAUCUAUUUUCAAUAACUGGAGUUGUCUCCAAUUCUAUGGGUGUCGGUAAAGGGGGUGGGUGGAGGAGGAAGGAGGAAGUCACAUUUUCUAGGUUGAAGUUAGGUCACACACAGUUGAAUAGUUCACUGUUUUUAAUUGGAAAACACCCAGACGGAUUGUUCUCCGUAUGCCAGGAGUCAGAGACGGUGCAACAUGUUUUUAUUUCUUGUAGUUGUUACAACCGGGACAGGCAGAUACUGAUGGAAAAAGUGCGGGAAGUGGGGCUUGAGGAGAUGACAGUUGCAGCUCUCUUGGAGGCGGGGAGGAGGGGGAGAGGCAAAUACUGGCUGUUUGAGUUUUUAAGCACCACAAGAUUGAUGCAAAGGAUAUAACUAUGUAGUGCUGUGAAGAUCCAGCAGGAGGCAGCAAUGCAACUAAUGGAUGCAAGCUGUUGUUAAACAACAAAGAAGAAGAAGAAGCGGAGCGGUUGACUAUAGCUGCGUCCGAAUUGCCAAGUAGUAGUCGAAGUAGUAGUCGAAGUAGUAUCUAGCAUGUCCGAAUUGGCCACCGGAGCGAGUAGCAUGCUACUUCAGAUACUACUUCAGAUACUAGACACGCCCACAUUGUAGGUUGGUCGCGGUGCAUCCUACGGGCAUGCUACUGACCCAAAAUGCACUGCGGGCUUCUUUUUCGUCCUCUUAAAAGUUGUAGAAGCGCAUGUGAUGCUAGCGCCACCAGCAUAGAUGCGUCGCGAACGCCGGCUAGCCACAGCAGCGCGCACCAUGGCGGUUUCAUGUAACUUCACACACUGUUCUAAAAAAUGUGCGGUUGUAUCUCUUUGUCAUGUCAUGGUGUCAUAUUUGCCCAAGUAAUCAUUUUAUGAGCAAAUAUGUGGCGACAUCAUGGAAGUACAGCUCACUUAUUCCAUCAUUAAACUGCACAGCUGCAGUACUACAGCCAGGCCAGCAGAUGAGGGGCUUCAGUUACCACUGUCUGCACGGGCGCAGUACCUACUUUCUGCCUGCGGGGGCCGUCUUUCCCCACCACUCAUCUAGUGUGUCCGAAUUGGGCCAACGUGUUUAGUAUGUAGGAGUAGGAUCUAGCAGUAGCAUGUAGCAGUAGCAUGUAGUAUCCGAGCGGGCAAUUCGGACACAGCAUUUACCAAGAUGAGGACGGAGAGAUGGCAGAGGGAAGUGACGCAGUAGGAAGUGAGAUGGAGGAGGGAGUUUGGAAUAUUGCAGGUGAACAGUGUCUGAACAGGAAAAAACGGAAGAAAGUAGCAAAGGAGGCAGCAAGGAGAGGGGAUUAUAAUUCAUCGGUUUCGACCAGUGAAGGGGAGCAAAGUGCAAGGCCAAAGCAAAUUGAGGAAUACAAAGUAAUCAUUAGAAUGACUCAGGAAGGACAAUCGUUUGGUGAGUGGAGCCCAGUUAAGCUGACAAAAGCCAUCCAUAAAGUUUUUGGGGAAGUAAAAAGGGUGAAAGUUCUGCGAAGUGGGGCAUUGCUGGUCCUGUGUAGGGAUGGGGCACAGCAAGGAAAAGCAAUAAGAAUGAGUAGAAUGGAGGGAAAGUCUGUAGUGUGCUCGAUGCCAGAAGUGAGGAAAGUGGCUGUGGGGGUUAUAUCAAAUAUUCCCACGGCUAUUACCUGUGAUGAGAUCAGAGAUAAUAUAGAGGGGGCAAGAGUGCUGGAAGUGCAGAGACUAAAAACAAACAGAAACGGAGAGAAGACGGACAGUCUCUCUGUCAAAAUCAGGUUUGAGGAACCAAAGCUGCCAGAUAAAGUAUACAUCGGAUACAUGUGCUAUGAAGUAAGGCCAUUUAUCCCCCCACCGCUUAGGUGCUUCAAGUGCCAGAAAUAUGGACAUGUUGCAGCGGUCUGCAGGGGUAAACAGAAAUGUGGGAGAUGUGCGGGGGAUCAUGAAUAUGGUAAAUGCCAAGAAGGGGCUAAGAUAAAAUGCUGCAACUGCGGGGGGGAGCACACCUCGGCGUAUUGAGGUUGUGAAGCAGGCAAGAAGGCGGCAGAAAUUCAAAAAGUAAAAACAUCGAUGGGAAUAUCCUAUGCAGAAGCAGCGAAGAAAGUGGGGGCGAGCCAUAUUGAUCCAGCAAAAAUGGUGAGGGCUGACGCCAGCAACAGAGUUGAAGCUAGUGGGUCUAAAGCAAAAGAAAAUACACUUACAGUGAGUAAGAAUGACUUUGUAUUAUUCAUGGUAGAAGUGAUAAAUUGCUCAGCGCAAACAAACAGCAAAACGGAGAAGAUCAAGAUCAUUAUCAAGGCUGCAGAGAAGUACCUUGACAUCAAGGGGCUUAGUUGUGAAAAGGUACAAGAAACAUUAGCUGGAGAAAUGUUUGAUUCGCAGACAUGGGGUGGAAACUCCUCAUGGUCCUAGCUAUUCUACAGUGGAAUGCUAGAAGUCUUAUUGCUAAUGGUCAAGAAUUUAAGAAAUUUAUCGAAGAAAGGUGUGAAAAGCCGCAAAUAAUAUGUAUUCAAGAGACAUGGCUAAAGUCACAGUGGGAUUUCACAUUAAACGGGUACACGUCAGUAAGAAAUGACAGAGAAUGUAGAAGCGGGGGAGGAGUGGCCACAUUCAUUAAAAGAGGAGUGAAUUAUAGGUUGGAAAAAGCAAGUGAUGAACAUGAGUCAAUAGUAAUACGAAUAUGGACAGAAAAUAAUAAUGUGACAAUAAUAAAUUAUUAUAAUCCAGGGAAUAGACUGUCCAGGGAGGUACUUAAUGAAGCAGGUGGACAGGUGGCGGGGAGGGUAGUAUGGUGCGGAGAUUUUAACGCACACAAUACUGUGUGGGGGAGCAUGACUACAGAUUUCAAUGGGAAGAUAAUAAUAGAAUUCAUAGAUGACUGUGAGAUGGUAUGUGUUAAUGACGGCCGGGGCACUCGAUACAACACCUCGAGAAAUACUGAAAGUGCAAUAGAUCUCACUCUAAUGUCGGCUGGGAUGGCAGGAAUUAGUACAUGGGAAGUACUACAAUAUACAACUAUGGGGAGUGAUCACUAUCCAAUAAUCUGCAGAAUAGGAGUUAGCCCAAUACAGGAUAGCGAGGAAAGACCGCCAAAGUGGAAGUUAGAAAGUGCUAAUUGGGAAAGAUUCCGGGACAUCACUGAAAGUACAUUGAGGGAAAUAGAUGAGGAAAGUAUAACGAGUGAGGAAUUUAAUGAGAGAGUGGUGGGAGCAAUAAGAGUAGCAGCAGAAAGAUCAAUUCCGCAAGUAAAGGGAAAGAGAACAAGGAAGAGCGUGCCAUGGUGGAAUGAGGACUGUAGCAGAGCAAUCAAGGAAAGAAAUAGAGCAUUUAGGAAUUUAAAAAGACAUCACACACUGGAGUCAUUGACAAAGUACAAGAGAGCACAGGCAGUAGUGCGCAGAGUUGUGCGCCAAGCUAAGAGGACAUCCUGGAGACAGUAUUGUAAUAAGAUAGGACGAGAAACAAAAUUGACAGAGAUAUGGGGAAUGAUUAGGAAAAUGAGUGGAAUUAAAACAAAUCAUGAAAUCCCAGGGCUACAGGUCGAUAACCAAGUGGUAGUGGGGAAUGACAGAGCGGAGGUUCUUGCAGAGGCAUUUGUCAAGGUGCAUAGUUCUGCAAACCUAACUCUGAAUGCUAAAAGUAACAGAGAAAUGAUGAUAGGAAAAAACAAGGGUAUUAGGGGUAAAAAAACAAUAUCUAGGGAGGGAAUUAAUGUGCCAUUUAGUAUGUUUGAAAUAAAGAGAGCAAUAGCUAAAGCAAAACAGAUGACACCAGGUAAGGAUGGAAUAUGUUAUGGAAUGUUGGCACAGAUGAGUGACAGAGCCCUUAAAAUUGUAUUAAACCUAUAUAAUAAAGUGUGGGAGUCAGGUAAAAUCCCAACCAAGUGGAAAGAGUCAGUUAUAGUUCCUAUACCAAAACCAGGGAAAGAUCAGUCAGACCCAGCUAGUUAAUGGCCCAUUGCACUAACGUCUCAGCUGGGGAAAAUAAUGGAGCGAAUGGUUAUGGAACGGUUACAUUACUAUUUAGAGAGCAAAAACCUCAUGUCAACGUAUCAAAGUGGUUUUCGCAAAGGAAGAGGGACUAUGUAUAAUGUAUUAGUGUUAGAAUCAGAGAUUAGGAAAGCUCAAGCUAAUAAGGAAAUAGUUCUAGCAGUCUUUUUUGAUGUGGAGAAGGCAUAUGAUAUGCUGUGGAAGGAAGGUCUCCUUAUUAAAAUGAACAAAUUGGGAAUCACAGGAAAUAUGUACAAUUGGGUAUUGAGUUUUUUUGUUUGAUCGGAAGAUUGAGGUGAGGACAGGCACUUACUACUCCAGACAGUACAGUGUAGAAAAUGGGACGCCCCAAGGAAGUGUGUGCAGUCCAACUUUGUUUAAUAUUAUGAUAAAUGAUAUCUUUGAGCAACUCCAUCCAAGUGUAGGGAAGUCAUUAUUUGCAGAUGAUGGGGCCUUGUGGACUAGGGGGCGCAAUUUACAAUAUUUACAGCAGAAACUGCAAUGUGCGAUUGGGAGAGUGGAACGGUGGGCGGAUAACUGGGGAUUUAAAUUCUCAGUGAGCAAGACACAGACUAUAUGCUUUGCAAAAAGACAAGGAAGUGGAAUUAUAUCUAUAUGGCCAAAAAAUAGAACAGGUCGGAGAAGUAAGAUUUUUGGGAUUGUGGCUAGAUGAAAAAUUAACAUGGAGACAGCAUAUAGACAGGCUUGUUAACAAAUGUAAAAAAGUGAAUAAUUUAUUAAAAUGUGUAUCGGGAAGGGACUGGGGAGCAUCAAGAAUGUCACUGUUAGGUAUAUACCAAGCUGUGAUGAGAGCUGCAUUAGACUAUGGGUGCAUAGCAUAUAUGUCAGCUGCAGACACUCACUUGAAGAAAUUAGAGGUGCAGCAGGCACAAGGGCUGAGAAUUUGUUGUGGAGCAUAUAAAACCUCCCCAGUAGCAGCUAUACAGGUUGAAACAGGAGAACAGCCACUGAGAAUCAGAAGAAUGAAAAUUAUGUUGGCAUACUGGACUAAUAUAAAGGGGCACAGGGAGGAUCACCCCACGAAGAGUACCCUGAGGGAAUGUUGGGAAUAUGGAAACAGUAGUGCAGCCAGUUUUGGUAGAAUUGGGAAUGAAGUUGCGGAAAGGGCGGGUUUAAAUCGGAUUCAGGUCUGUAAAACGGUUCCAGUUUCAAGGAUUCCCCCAUGGCUUUUUGUAAUGCCAGAAGUGGAUUUUGAGAUCAAAAAACUUCUUAAGGCAGUGAAGAGACAAAGUACAGCUGGGUUUGUAGCCUUGGAAUAUUUGGAAGAGAGAUAUGGCAAUACUCAAAUAGUAUUCACAGGUGGAUCAAAAGACCCAGAUACUGGCCGAACUGGGGCUGCAGCGUAUAUCCCUACGAAAAUAUUAAAAUAAAGCAGAGGUGUUCAGAUUAUGUAUCAGUGUAUGCAGUAGAGAUAGCAGCAAUAAUAAUGGCAUUACAGUGGAUAAAAGCUCAAAGGAAGAACAAAUCAGUCAUAGCAUCAGACAGCUGGGCGGCUCUUUCAAGCCUACAAACCAUGAAAUCUUGUAGACUAGAUCUUAUAUAUGAGGUACACAGUAACCUGUAUGAAAUCUGGGAAAGAGGGCUGGGUGUGAGUUUUGUGUGGGUUCCUGCCCACGUGGGAAUAGAGGGAAAUUAAGAGGCGGAUAGGUUGGCAAAGCAGUCGUUAAGACAACAGGACAUAGACCUACAAGUCAGGUUAAGUAAAGCAGAAGAAAAGGCACUCAUAGAAAAAUACAGUCGGGAACAGUGGCAAGAAUAUUGGGAAUCGGUAGAAACGGGCAGACAUUUGUUUUCAAUACAGAGACAGGUGGGAGAGGGAAGAAGGAUUGGAAGGAACCGGAAGGAAGAAACAACAUUAACACGGUUAAGGAUCGGUCAUACAGGGUUAAAUGGAACAUUGAAUAAAAUAGGUAAACACACAGAUGGAAAAUGUCAACAGUGUGGGGUAACGGAAUCAGUGCAGCAUGUGCUGAUGGAAUGUGUGCGAUACGAAGAAGAGAGGAAGACCUUGAAAACAGAAAUGGAGAAAGAAAAAGAAUCAUUUAAAUUAGAAAACUUGUUAAAAGUGGACAAUAGGGCAAGGCUGGGGCGACUGAUGGAUUUUGUGCGGGAUACAAGGUUAAUACAAAGGAUUUAGGACUCUCCGUCACUAAAAGGUUUUAGUCUGUAACUGCCUAAUCUCCUGUUCUACCGUAGACUCAGUAGGUGGCGGUAAUGCUCCAGACA
Molecule: non-coding RNA, 9324 nt
Organism: Xyrichtys novacula (pearly razorfish)
Lineage: Eukaryota; Metazoa; Chordata; Actinopteri; Labriformes; Labridae
Source: the annotation of a GenBank genome assembly